GUGAGGAAUUUUCCGCAAUGGGCGAAAGCCUGACGGAGCAAUGCCGCGUGAAGGAUGAAGGCCUAUGGGUUGUAAACUUCUUUUCUCAGAAAAGAAUUAUGACGGUAUCUGAGGAAUAAGCAUCGGCUAACUCUGUGCCAGCAGCCGCGGUAAGACAGAGGAUGCAAGCGUUAUCCGGAAUGAUUGGGCGUAAAGCGUCUGUCGGUUGUUUAAAAAGUAUUCUGUCAAAGAUUAGGGCUUAACCAUAGAUAGGGAGAAUAAACUUUUAAGCUAGAGUGUGGUAGAGGCAGAGGGAAUUCCCGGUGGAGCGGUGAAAAGCGUAGAUAUCGGGAGGAACGCCAAAGGCGAAGGCACUCUGCUGGGCCAAUACUAACACUGAGAGACGAAAGCGAGGGGAGCAAAUGGGAUUAGAUACCCCGGUAGUCC
RNAcentral lists this ribosomal RNA (426 nucleotides) under uncultured bacterium. RNAcentral describes it as "partial 16S ribosomal RNA". It matches the Rfam family "Bacterial small subunit ribosomal RNA", at positions 354 to 796 of the family's 1533-position model. The record is from RNAcentral.